Non-coding RNA from Pelobates cultripes (western spadefoot toad), 217 nucleotides. Lineage: Eukaryota; Metazoa; Chordata; Amphibia; Anura; Pelobatidae. The record is from the annotation of a GenBank genome assembly.
UUUCCUUUCAUAUAUAUGUUGUUUGAUGUUACUCUAGUAGCAGAGAAAUAAAGACUCAGUUUCUACAUAAAACAAAUAGUAAGUAUCCAAAGCAGGACACACAGUGUAAAGUCAGUAUUAAUUUGUAUCAGAACCAGAUAUAGAAGUAGCAGGACUAAUGGUAGAAACAAUUGACAGCAGAAAGAGAAAUUGAAGAGGGAGAGAUACAGCCCCUAAG